Molecule: small RNA, 315 nt
Filed under: Pan troglodytes (chimpanzee)
Lineage: Eukaryota; Metazoa; Chordata; Mammalia; Primates; Hominidae
Description: processed transcript
Source: RNAcentral
CCUGGUCACAGGACUAUACUGACCUGGAGGUCAGGGUGCCAGUACCCAAGCACGUGGUGAAGGGAAAGCAGGUCAUAGGUGAGACCCAUUGAAGCCCCAUCGAGUCCUGAGAGGCAAAGCAAAGAACCCAGGUCACAGUGAUGAAGUGGACGGCCAGGCCUGUGUGCUGUGGGGCUCUUCCAUGGAGCAGGGAGCCAUGUCCUAUAAGUACCGCAUGCUAACCGAUUGCGCCACUGGAGCCACACCAUGUCAUGAUGUACCUGUAACAUUUGCAACUUGAGUUUCAAACACUAAAGUUUCUGAAACCUCCAUCUA